Molecule: non-coding RNA, 30 nt
Filed under: Mus musculus (house mouse)
Lineage: Eukaryota; Metazoa; Chordata; Mammalia; Rodentia; Muridae
Source: RNAcentral
UCCAUGUGAAGCAAAGUGGAAAUCCUUGUG